Non-coding RNA from Paramuricea clavata, 1365 nucleotides. NCBI's taxonomy places the organism in Eukaryota, Metazoa, Cnidaria, Anthozoa, Malacalcyonacea, Plexauridae. The record is from the annotation of a GenBank genome assembly.
AAACGAUCUAAAGCGGACACAAAUACAUUGAUCACCAUACACAUGUUACUGUCAGUAAUAAUAAGGCCUACAUGCACUUGAAUAUACUGGUCAGGUAUGCCACUUUAAUAUUCAAGACUUUUUAAGCCAAGAUACAUGUACGGAAAAAUACAAAUUAAAGCGUUCAAAGAUUAUAUUACUCUUAUUAAACUGUAGAAAAGCACCAAAUCAGUCUCACGGUUAUUUCUACAUUAGGGAUGAUAAGUGAAAAUAAGCAAAAGAUUUAUUCCAGAACUAGUGUUAUCAGACUACGAUUUAGGAUGAAGUAGGAAAUAUGAUAAUUACUUGCGUACAGUACAUAUUUUAAACGUUGUAUAGUGUGGGCCAAGAUUAGGGCCCAGUGUAAGAUUUUGGUCACUGAGGGUAAGGUUAGUGCCCAUCCUGAGCCACUAACUAUAGUCGGGCCUGCGGGGCUAAAUGCCCCCCCCCCCCAGGCCCCAGUAUAUAUGUUAAAACAUGCCUUGCCUGCGUAAAACAGAACGUUUCAAAAAAUCUGUCUUUAAAAGAGAAAUAGCAAUAAAAAUUUAGUUUCUCCCAUUUGGAAGGUGGAUUCAAUAUAUUUCAAAGCCAUUUUACAGAUUUUCUUUGUUGUUCUUGGUAUAAAAAGUAUUACACUUCAUUGCGAACAAAAUCGUUAUGCAUUCCGCCAUCUUGGAUAUGCAUAUCCAUCGUCGGAUAUGCGUGACGGCACAACCAGGGUAACAUUAUUUUGUAUCGCGAGUAAUACUCGGGUCAUUUUAAUGAUAAAUCCUAUUUUCUACUAUUGCCUAUUUUAAAAUUAAGGCAGAAGCUAGCUACAGUAUGUAGAAACUUUCCUCUGAUAAUAUUUUCUAUUUUGAAAAUGUCUACCCUAGUUGUGACGUCAUUUAAUUAGAUCUAAUUAUAAAGCAAGAUGGCGGAUGGUAGGAUAUUUUGGUUUCAAAUAUCUCAAAAACUAGGAUAGCUUGGGAUAAUUUGUAUAAAAGGAUUUGUAAGUAAUCUUAACAUUCUUUCAAAUUACGCAAACACAAUUUUUGUUGCCAUUUUCCUUUAAGGAACAUAACAGGAUUUAAUAGAUGUAUUGUGUUUAUAUAUAAAUUUUAUGCAAGUUUUAUUCAAUAUAUACAGUAGUUAGAGUACUGUAUCUCAAUGUUAUUAUAGUAUCUUAUUGUAUUUGCUAAAAGCCUCGCUUCUCGGCAGCGGCGGCGGAACAGAUUUCAUUCUGGGGGGGCUAAAUUUUUUUUUGUCUCCCCCCCCGUCGCCAAAAAAAUUUCGGUCAGUGUACCAUUUUAGGGGUACAAAAAAUUUUCCGGACAUUUACAAGAAAAGGGAUAAAAAAAUUUUUUC